Non-coding RNA from Parasteatoda tepidariorum (common house spider), 890 nucleotides. Lineage: Eukaryota; Metazoa; Arthropoda; Arachnida; Araneae; Theridiidae. The record is from RefSeq and is a predicted model, not a curated record.
AGAGGCACGACUGGUAUCGAAUGAGCUCUUUAUGUCUCCGAACUGUGUGUAGUCUUGUGUGUUUAUUCUCAAUUUAAAUACUAAGAUGGAUACCGUAUGUGAUUUUGUGUCGGAUGUUUUCUCUGAAGGUUUGGUCCAAAGAAGCAUUUUUGUCUUAAAGAUUUUGAAGGAAUAAAUUUGUUACCGAUGAUUACCAAUUUUCAGAAGGUUGUUUAUAGAUGACUUUUCUCUUUACGUUUUUUUAAAAAUCCAAGAAGCUACCGUGAUUUCCUUGAAAUUGAUGUUUGAGAUUCUACCACAGGAAGUAACUAAUGCUAGAUUGAAAGAAUAUACCUUGCAGCAGAAUAAUCAUGAUUUUACAGCUUGAUACUCUACUACAGAAAGUUACUAAUGCUAGAUUGAAAGAAUAUAGACCUUGCAGUAGAAUAUUGAUUAUCACUUUAAAGUUUAUUGAUGGGCUUUGUACUGGAUACCUCAACGACGUAUAGUAACUCUUGAGGACCCUAUUUGCCGAGAUCUCCAUUUCGGACCUAGUUGCCAUAGGAAACGUGUGUGCCAAGAUGCCCUCGAUUACUUAGUGUGAUAACUAUGUGUGCCUAGAUGACUUCGAUAACUACCUAGAUACCAUGAUAAACAUGUGUGCCAAGAUGACCUGAAUUACUGACCUAGUUGUCAUGAGAACAAUGUGUACCAAGAUUAGCUUGAUUACCGACCUAGUUACCAUGAGAAACAUGUGUGCCAAAAUGAUUGACCUUUGUUGCCAUGACCGAACUGAAGAGUUAAACCUACCUUAUUUCUUCGACUCAAAAGGUUUAUUUUUUAUAUUCUCUAAUAUGGAAAUUCCACACUUGUAUUAUAUGAAUAUUUAAAUAUAAUUUUUUUAAUAAGAA